Molecule: transfer RNA, 71 nt
Filed under: Candidatus Omnitrophota bacterium
Lineage: Bacteria; Pseudomonadati; Candidatus Omnitrophota
Description: tRNA-Gln
Rfam family: tRNA
About the family: Transfer RNA (tRNA) molecules are approximately 80 nucleotides in length. Their secondary structure includes four short double-helical elements and three loops (D, anti-codon, and T loops).
Source: RNAcentral
UGCCCGGUAGUGUAAUGGUAACACACAAGAAUUUGGGUCUUGGUUUUGAGGUUCGAAUCCUCACCGGGCAG